GAGAGAGUUUGACUAUUUUAAAUUUUCUCUAAUUUAAGUUUGGAACUAGAGAAGGUGGACUUGAAUACGAAUAGGGGAUCAAAUACAAAUAUGAUUUAUGAUGAAAUACUAAUCCAUUUAGCUGACUGCACGGUAUGUUAUUGUUACUGGAAUUAGA
This is a non-coding RNA of Arachis ipaensis, 157 nucleotides long. The record is from RefSeq and is a predicted model, not a curated record. Lineage: Eukaryota; Viridiplantae; Streptophyta; Magnoliopsida; Fabales; Fabaceae.